GAAUCCGCUAAGGAGUGUGUAACAACUCACCUGCCGAAUGAACUAGCCCUGAAAAUGGAUGACGCUUAAGCGGACAGCCGACACCGGACCGUUUUCGUAAGAAGCGGCGAAAAUGAGUAGGAGGGCGUGGCGGUUUUGUUGGGAAGGCUGAGACGCGAGUCUAGCUGAAACAGCCGCUAGUGCAGAUCUUGGUGGUAGUAGCAAAUAUUCAAGCGAGAUCCUUGAAGGGCGAAGCGAGGAAGGGUUCCACGCGAACAUUGAUUGGGCGUGGGUGAGUCGUUCCUAAGCCGGGUGGUAAUCGUUCUGACGAUCGGCGAAAGGGAAGCGGGUUAAAAUUCCUGCACACGGAUGUGGAAGCGGUGACGCAAUUUGACAUGGAGACGUUGGCGGUGGCGCUAGGCAGAGUUGUCUUUUCUGUUUGACCUGUGUGCGCGUGCUGUGGAAUCCGAUUAUCGGGAGAAACAGGCGCCGAUGGGCAGAGCGUCGGGGCAUCCCCGGCGUCUAGCACGCCACCGACAGCCCUUGAAAAUCUAUGUGCAAUGUAAUUUCACGCCGUGGCGUACCGAUAACCGCAUCAGGUCCUCAAGGUGAACAGCCUCUGCUCUAUAUGAACAAUGCAGGUAAGGGAAGUCGGCA
RNAcentral lists this ribosomal RNA (636 nucleotides) under Spongites sp. ARS-2011. Its description in RNAcentral is "eukaryotic LSU rRNA". It matches the Rfam family "Eukaryotic large subunit ribosomal RNA", at positions 1264 to 1919 of the family's 3401-position model. The record is from RNAcentral. Lineage: Eukaryota; Rhodophyta; Florideophyceae; Corallinales; Spongitidaceae.